RNAcentral lists this long non-coding RNA (440 nucleotides) under Manihot esculenta (cassava). RNAcentral describes it as "long non-coding RNA (MESC_LNC007430)". The record is from RNAcentral. Lineage: Eukaryota; Viridiplantae; Streptophyta; Magnoliopsida; Malpighiales; Euphorbiaceae.
CCAUUUCUUGCAUGUUUUUCUAUGAUUAUUCCAUGAUGUUUUAGGGGGUUUUUGGGGAAUAGUUUAGAGUUAUGUUCAGGUAUGUUUGGUCCCUCAUUUGAGUCCACCUGUGUAGGUUCGGACCCGAGGAACCGAGGACCCCCGCAGUGAGUCUGUUGCCCCAGUGUCUGGUCAGAGCUAUCCAGAGGUGAGUGGAAUAAACCUUUACGUUUAAAGUAAAUAAAUUUCAAAGUUUUGAGCAUUGUUCAUGCAUCAUGAAUGCCAUGUGAUGAAUUAGGUUGCUUGCAUUAGAAUUCACGAAUAUGUUGCAUUGCACAUUUUGAUGUUGAUGUGGAUGAAUGUUGAAUGAUCCAUAGCCCUCGAUCUAUGAUAUGACGAUAUGAUAUGUACGGUACGGAAAGUAAGACCAGUGGGACCCAUUCUACGUUCGCUGGCACUAU